RNAcentral lists this ribosomal RNA (393 nucleotides) under uncultured beta proteobacterium. RNAcentral describes it as "bacterial SSU rRNA". It matches the Rfam family "Bacterial small subunit ribosomal RNA", at positions 9 to 411 of the family's 1533-position model. Lineage: Bacteria; Pseudomonadati; Pseudomonadota; Betaproteobacteria. The record is from RNAcentral.
GAGUUUGAUCUUGGCUCAGAUUGAACGCUGGCGGCAUGCCUUACACAUGCAAGUCGAACGGUAACAGGUUAAGCUGACGAGUGGCGAACGGGUGAGUAAUGUAUCGGAACGUGCCCAGUCGUGGGGGAUAACUGCUCGAAAGAGCAGCUAAUACCGCAUACGACCUGAGGGUGAAAGCGGGGGAUCGCAAGACCUCGCGCGAUUGGAGCGGCCGAUAUCAGAUUAGGUAGUUGGUGGGGUAAAGGCCUACCAAGCCGACGAUCUGUAGCUGGUCUGAGAGGACGACCAGCCACACUGGGACUGAGACACGGCCCAGACUCCUACGGGAGGCAGCAGUGGGGAAUUUUGGACAAUGGACGCAAGUCUGAUCCAGCCAUGCCGCGUGCGGGAGAA